GUAGUCUCGCACAGAUGCAUAUCAAUAAGCGGAGGAAAAGAAACUAACAAGGAUUCCCCUAGUAACGGCGAGUGAAGCGGGAAGAGCUCAAAUUUGAAAUCUUAAAGGGUUUCCCUUUACGAAUUGUAGUUUAAAGAAGUGUUUUCUGUUGAGGUUUUGGUAAAAGUUCUUUGGAAUAGGACAUCAUAGAGGGUGAGAAUCCCGUAUUUGACCUUUACUUUCAACUUUGUGAUACACUUUCAAAGAGUCGGAUUGUUUGGGAAUGCAGUCCAAAAUGGGUGGUAAAUUUCAUCUAAAGCUAAAUAUUGGCGAGAGACCGAUAGCGAACAAGUACCGUGAGGGAAAGAUGAAAAGAACUUUGAAAAGAGAGUUAAACAGUACGUGAAAUUGUCAAAAGGGAAGCGUUUGACACCAGUGUUGUUUUUCUGAAAAUCAAUUAAAGAACUGUUUAUGCUAAGCUGUUUAGACUUUAUCAGCUAACUGUUUAGUUUUGAGCUUUUCUUUAAUGCACUUUUCAGUUAACAAGUCAACAUCAAUUUCUUUUGCUGUAAAAAGCUUGAGGAAGGUGGCUUGAGAUUCGUCUUAAGUGUUUAUAGCCUCUUGCCUAUGCAGUCGGAGAGAUUGAGGUCUGCAGCGUAGAUCCUUCGGGGCUAAAUGCAUUUGUGCUAAGUUAUAGCAUUUUAUAGACAACUUGUUGACUAUGAUUAGUCUUGUAGCUUACUCGCUUAUGUUAUUUUACCUACGCUUAGGAUGUUGAUCUGUAGUGCGUGCGC
Molecule: ribosomal RNA, 773 nt
Filed under: uncultured Neocallimastigales
Lineage: Eukaryota; Fungi; Neocallimastigomycota; Neocallimastigomycetes; Neocallimastigales
Description: partial large subunit ribosomal RNA
Rfam family: Eukaryotic large subunit ribosomal RNA
Source: RNAcentral